CCUACGGGGUGCAGCAGUGAGGAAUAUUGGUCAAUGGACGAGAGUCUGAACCAGCCAAGUAGCGUGAAGGAUGACUGCCCUAUGGGUUGUAAACUUCUUUUAUAUGGGAAUAAAAUGUUCCACGUGUGGGAUUUUGUAUGUACCAUAUGAAUAAGGAUCGGCUAACUCCGUGCCAGCAGCCGCGGUAAUACGGAGGAUCCGAGCGUUAUCCGGAUUUAUUGGGUUUAAAGGGAGCGUAGGUGGAUUGUUAAGUCAGUUGUGAAAGUUUGCGGCUCAACCGUAAAAUUGCAGUUGAAACUGGCAGUCUUGAGUACAGUAGAGGUGGGCGGAAUUCGUGGUGUAGCGGUGAAAUGCUUAGAUAUCACGAAGAACUCCGAUUGCGAAGGCAGUUCACUGGACUGCAACUGACACUGAGGCUCGAAAGUGUGGGUAUCAAACAGGAUGAGAUACCCUAGUAGUC
Molecule: ribosomal RNA, 460 nt
Filed under: uncultured bacterium
Lineage: Bacteria
Description: partial 16S ribosomal RNA
Rfam family: Bacterial small subunit ribosomal RNA
Source: RNAcentral